This 164-nucleotide ribosomal RNA is filed under the name Phytophthora colocasiae. Its description in RNAcentral is "5.8S ribosomal RNA". It matches the Rfam family "5.8S ribosomal RNA". From Rfam's summary of the family: 5.8S ribosomal RNA (5.8S rRNA) is a component of the large subunit of the eukaryotic ribosome. It is transcribed by RNA polymerase I as part of the 45S precursor that also contains 18S and 28S rRNA. The record is from RNAcentral. Lineage: Eukaryota; Oomycota; Peronosporomycetes; Peronosporales; Peronosporaceae.
AAACUUUCAACAAUGGAUCUCUUGGUUCCGGCAUCGAUGAAGAACGCAGCGAACUGCGAUAAGUAAUGUGAAUUGCAGAAUUCAGUGAAUCAUCGAGUCUUUGAACGCACAUUGCGCCCCCUGGCAUUCCGGGGGGCAUGCCUGUCCGAGCGUCAUUGCUGCCC